CUGUGGAACAGCAAAUAUUGCAGAACAGAAAAUACUGCUGCCUGAUCCUUCCUCUGGAAACUUCGUCCUAGAGUGGCACCCACCUACAUGAGAUGUGCUGUUCUUGACGUCCUUACUUCUGUCCUCAGAAUCAUAUCUUCGCAUCUGAAAGAAGGCAACAGCAUUGAGCAACAAUCUGGGACUCUAUUUGAUAUCUUCCCUUGAGAAGUGUUAAAUGUUGCCAUAAUCUUGACAGUUCAAAAGUUAGUCAUGUGGUUGAUAUUUUACCAAUGAGAUGAAUGUGACUGUAAUAUGGGCAAAUCCCACCUACCAUAAAAGCUGGCAAUACUUGCCUAAUAUUGAAGGAAGGAGACAUUUAGAGCAAGCCAGGAAGCUGGAACACCGGAUCAGGAACAGACACUUCUCCGCAAGUUUAGAGUUUGGUAUUUCUCAAGUCCUGGCCUGAGGGAUGUUUACUCUCAGGUUAUACAAAGUCCCAGCUUGGGUUCUGGAAAAAUUGAACUGACAACUUUGCCUGAAAGAAGUUUCUUGCUAACUCCUAGGAAAGAAGGUGAGAAUGAGGCCACUGACGUCAUCUUGGCUUGGUUUACUUAAGCCUGGGCAAAGAGGGAAAAGGGCA
RNAcentral lists this long non-coding RNA (619 nucleotides) under Homo sapiens (human). RNAcentral's name for it is "HSALNT0313152". Lineage: Eukaryota; Metazoa; Chordata; Mammalia; Primates; Hominidae. The record is from RNAcentral.